This 431-nucleotide ribosomal RNA is filed under the name uncultured bacterium. RNAcentral describes it as "partial 16S ribosomal RNA". It matches the Rfam family "Bacterial small subunit ribosomal RNA", at positions 29 to 507 of the family's 1533-position model. The record is from RNAcentral.
AACGAACGCUGGCGGCAGGCUUAACACAUGCAAGUCGAACGCCCCGCCAGGGGAGUGGCCGACGGGUGAGUAACGCGUGGGAACAUACCCUUUUCUACGGAAUAGCUCUGGGAAACUGGAAUUAAUACCGUAUACGCCCUACGGGGGAAAGAUUUAUCGGGGAAGGAUUGGCCCGCGUUGGAUUAGCUAGUUGGUGGGGUAAAGGCCUACCAAGGCGACGAUCCAUAGCUGGUCUGAGAGGAUGAUCAGCCACAUUGGGACUGAGACACGGCCCAAACUCCUACGGGAGGCAGCAGUGGGGAAUAUUGGACUAUGGGCGCAAGCCUGAUCCAGCCAUGCCGCGUGAGUGAUGAAGGCCUUAGGGUUGUAAAGCUCUUUCACCGAUGAAGAUAAUGACGGUAGUCGGAGAAGAAGCCCCGGCUAACUUCGUG